Molecule: non-coding RNA, 1835 nt
Organism: Pocillopora verrucosa
Lineage: Eukaryota; Metazoa; Cnidaria; Anthozoa; Scleractinia; Pocilloporidae
Source: RefSeq, a predicted model, not a curated record
AGCUCGAUUCAUGUUCACCGUACUCGAAUAGCAAUUCGAGUACCAUUUCAAACCAACCUCGGUUCAACGAGCUCGAAAUGCAGUCAAUUCGAUUCGAGCUCGAUUCAACUAUAUCGUGCUCGAUUAAAAAGACGAGCUCGACGAACUCAAUCUGCUCUUAUCGACCUCAGUUAUUUUUAUCGAGCUCGGUUUGCCACGUAUUCUAUCGAGCACGGUUUGCCUCGCAUUCUAUAGGUAAUCUGGUACCAAGACUUGGGAGGGAGCAUGGGACGAGCGAGAGUGGCCAUGUUUCUGGCAACUUUGUCGAGUUUAGUUCGUGAAUUCGGGACUUUUUAGGAGUAUGUUUUCGGUCGAAUUCGAAAAAAAAGAAGAAGAGUGACAGAAGAAGAGCAAAGAAUGAUUUAUACUGCUAAGGAGAUGAAGGAAAUGACACUAAGUAACUGGAUGGGAUGCUGAGAGCAGCUGCAGGAACAAUUUUUGUUGUCCGGAGUACAGUCCUCUCCAUCUGCAGUUGUCAUCUAUAAAUGGCCCACUUGUAAGGGGCUUGUCUCCAAUGGCAUCUGAAGCUUGUUGUCUCCUGCUCUCCACAAAAUUUGGAAUUCUCCAGCAAAAGGAGACAACCCUUUCCACUUUGGGCUCUAUGGGUUCUAUGUUGCAUUUCUAAAACAGAAAUGGAUUUUAUGGAUAUUAUGAAAUGCACCAGAAAAAGAUUUUCAAUGUAAGAUUUUGAAGCCAGGUACUUGGCACAUUGAAGCCUUCUCUGGGCAUUUGUGUAGAUGUAGGUUGAUGUUCAUUCUACAAUUCAAAAAGAGUUAUUUUUAAGGAAUGCAGCUGAUCGCGUGGCACCAGACACAAGUUAGGACUGCUCGUAGUCCUCGAUUUGGAUAACAGAAGGAUAAGUUUGUCACCUGUUAUUGACGAUUGAAAUGAUAAGAGAAUACAGCAAUACUGCAAUUCAUGCUAAAAAUUACCGAAAAAUACUUCACUUAUGACAAUCGCCUAACACCAAAAUAUCGCAAUGCUGAAUUAUCCUAAUUAAUACAACAUACCGUGGUAAUGAUGCUCCACAUCUCAAGGGGCAUAGAACUGCAGAGUUUCUGCAUAAAGAUGUACGGUGGAAUUGGAGUCUUUCCCUGGUUACGCUCAGUUGGCAUCCUGAACAUGCGAUCCUUUCUUUUGGGCAAGCGUGUGCUGUCAUUUCUUCCCGUGCCGCCACGUGCUGGCAUCCUUCGUUGGGGCACCUCUCUCGUACUUUUGGGCAAUGUCUGAGGUGAUCGUUGGCAUUGCUAUAGUUGCCCUUCCACUGGCAGCCUUGGCUGUUACAUUUAACAGGCAAAUCUCGGGUCGCCUUAUCCAUUGCCACAUUUAACCUCAGCUCUUCUUUUCGGAACGUUGCCCGACACUGGGGACACAACGGUGUGGCUGUCGAUUCUGCCCAAGUUUCCAUGCAAUUUUUGCAGCCAGAGUGCCCACAGGCAAGGGUAACGGGCCUUGACACGAUGCUGUAACUGAAAAGGAAUGUGGCAGUAUAAUAGCACUGGAAAUGAGCGGUAACAAAAACGAUGGCAAAAUAUGACAGCCAGCAAUGAUAUUCAACUCACCAAAUACAGCAUUCCAAAUCCACUGUCCUCAGAAAAGUUAAUUCGUUGGACUUGGAAACCACUUCGGUCUUUUGAUGAGACAUUGUUACGGACUAAAGGAUUUUCGAUCACGGUCUGUCGUAAUAAAGUUUCCUUGUCAGUGUAAGCUGCUCAAAUAACCUCUGAUGACAACGGUGUGAUUUUUAAAGGUCAAUAUUUCCGUUGUGCGGUUAAUAAAUUAAUUUCCUUUGUUUA